Molecule: long non-coding RNA, 202 nt
Filed under: Elaeis guineensis (African oil palm)
Lineage: Eukaryota; Viridiplantae; Streptophyta; Magnoliopsida; Arecales; Arecaceae
Description: long non-coding RNA (EGUI_LNC066252)
Source: RNAcentral
GAGACACUGUAGAACACUUGAUCGGAUGGCCAGCAGCUCUUCAACUCAUAUCCAGUGGUGGUGGCCCACUUCAAAUGCAUGAUCCGAUGGCUCAAAAUGAUCCUGAGUAAGAUCGAACGGCUGUGGUUGGUUGCCAAUAGAAAAACUAAACAGAGAAGGAUUUUUUGAGCACCAUCCAAUGGUUGAAAUCAAAUCUCAGGCC